RNA transcript from Macadamia integrifolia, 2005 nucleotides. It is a transcript of the gene named ubiquitin fusion degradation protein 1 homolog, with no coding region annotated. The transcript has 12 exons. NCBI's taxonomy places the organism in Eukaryota, Viridiplantae, Streptophyta, Magnoliopsida, Proteales, Proteaceae. The record is from RefSeq and is a predicted model, not a curated record.
CGAUCCGAAUUGGUCUGAAGAAGACCCUAGAAUCGGCAGAUCUGAGUCGAUUCCCGAUCCGAUUCGUAGAUUCUUGAAAGUUGAAAUCCUGGGCAGAGAAUCAAGGAGAGGAAGUGUGGAUAAUCAAUCGGCAGUUAAACACAGGAGCGCAUCUUAGGUUUAUAAAUCCUCCUCAGUCCUCACUCUCAAUCGUCUCCGAUUCUUUGUCGAGACUCCACCUUAUAGUAUCGCCUUUCUCCCUCUCUGGAUUUCAAGGGAUCUCUGAAGGUGAUACCUGGUUCUGCUACCAAAACGCAGUUACAAUGUUUUUUGAAGGAUAUGGAUACCAUGGAGCAUCAUUUGAGCAGACAUACCGUUGCUACCCUGCUUCUUUUAUUGAUAAGCCUCAGUUGGAAGGUGGUGAUAAGAUUAUAAUGCCUCCCUCAGCCCUUGACCACCUCGCAUCUCUUCAUAUUGAUUAUCCAAUGUUGUUUGAGCUUCGUAAUGCUGCUGCUGAGCGGGUUUCACAUUGCGGUGUGCUGGAGUUCAUUGCCGAAGAAGGAAUGAUCUACAUGCCGUAUUGGAUGAUGGAAAACAUGCUGUUACAAGAGGGUGACACCGUGCGGGUGAAAAACGUGACUCUUCCAAAAGGAACAUACGUAAAGUUGCAGCCUCACACAAAGGAUUUCUUAGAUAUCUCCAACCCAAAAGCCAUCUUGGAGACUACAUUGAGGAACUACUCCUGCUUGACCACCGGGGACAGUAUCAUGGUAGCCUAUAACAAUAAGAAGUAUUACAUAGAUAUCAUAGAAACAAAGCCUUCUAAUGCAAUAACUAUCAUUGAGACAGAUUGCGAGGUGGAUUUUGCACCUCCUCUUGAUUACAAGGAACCUGAAAGGCAGGCACCAUCAGUGCCUAUAAGCAAGGCACCUGCUCCAGUUGAAGAGGUUGUGCCAGAACCAACAUUUAACCCAUUUUCUGGGGUGGGGAGACGCUUGGAUGGCAAGUCAUUGAAGCACCCUCCAGUUUCAUCUCCUGCAUCCAAAGACAAGCAGCCGGGGGGUGCCAAUGAUAUGCCUUCAGCAGCUUCUACUUCACAAAGUACCCGUCAAUCCCAGGGGAAGCUUGUGUUUGGGGCAACUGUGAACCGUGGUAAAAAAGAAACCCCAAAUCAGCAACCUGCAAAGGACUCGAAGCAAGAGGAGGCCCUAAAGAAAGAAGAGCCCAAGUUUCAAGCAUUCACAGGGAAGAAGUACUCAUUGAAGGGGUGAACUGAUUCUCACUGGUUGACUGUUAGCUCUUCGGGUCAUGAGGUAUCCAACCUCUGUCUAGGGAAGCCAGCAUUGAGGUUGUAUCGAUCUCUGCUACCGUCGGCGAAGCUUUAUCGGCAUUGAAAAAGUCUGAAGAGAGCUAUCUGAGCGUUUGGAGUUGUGAUCACUCAUCUAAUGAGAAACCAUAUUUCGAUGAUUGUCGAUGCGUUGGCAAGGUUUGCAUGGUGGAUGUUAUUUGCUAUCUCUGUGAGGAAGAGAACCUCUCUUGUCCAUCGUCUACGCUUAAAUUUCUGUGCUUCUUCCCAAGACUUUUGGUUUUGUGAGGCAUGCAAAGUCACACUCAAGAGAGCAAAAAACAAAACUGUAAACUGAGGAGGAAGAAGAAGAAGAAAUAGUCCAGUUUGAUCCGUUGGACAGAUCGGUUUGCUUACUUCAAACCAGUUUUGGCGGAGCUUCAAUCAACAAAGCAUCUGAGCUGUCUAUUUCAAAUUAUCCACGUGUUGACCUCUGCCGGAGGUAUUGUACAAAAUUGUAUGAGAUGGGAAUUUCAGAAGAUUUUUAUCCACAUGGUGUCAGCCCUAUUGAUACUCUCUAGUCUUGCCGGGCUUAAAAAAAUUGUCGCCGCCUCUUAUUUUUUGGGUAAGGCAAAUGGUUGGAUUAAUUAUUUUGGGUAAGGCAAAUGAUUGGAGUAAAGUUUUUUUCCUUUUUUGGUAAACAUUGAUUGGAUUAAAGUUAAUGCCCAUUUAUUGAUGCAA